RNAcentral lists this ribosomal RNA (387 nucleotides) under uncultured bacterium. Its description in RNAcentral is "bacterial SSU rRNA". It matches the Rfam family "Bacterial small subunit ribosomal RNA", at positions 370 to 772 of the family's 1533-position model. The record is from RNAcentral.
AAUGGGCGCAAGCCUGAUGCAGCAACGCCGCGUGAGCGAUGAAGGCCUUCGGGUCGUAAAGCUCUGUCCUUGGGGAAGAAACAAAUGACGGUACCCUUGGAGGAAGCCCCGGCUAACUACGUGCCAGCAGCCGCGGUAAUACGUAGGGGGCGAGCGUUAUCCGGAAUUAUUGGGCGUAAAGAGUACGUAGGUGGUUAUGUAAGCGUGGGGUGAAAGGCAAUGGCUCAACCAUUGUUAGCCUUACGAACUGCAUGGCUUGAGUGCAGGAGAGGAAAGCGGAAUUCCUAGUGUAGCGGUGAAAUGCGUAGAUAUUAGGAGGAACACCAGUGGCGAAGGCGGCUUUCUGGACUGUAACUGACACUGAGGUACGAAAGCGUGGGGAGCAAA